AGAGGUUUAAGUUAAAAAAACUAACAGCCUUCAAAGCUUUAAUUGGUAAACAACCAACCUCUA
RNAcentral lists this transfer RNA (63 nucleotides) under Cumberlandia monodonta. RNAcentral describes it as "tRNA-Trp". Lineage: Eukaryota; Metazoa; Mollusca; Bivalvia; Unionida; Margaritiferidae. The record is from RNAcentral.